UGGGGAAUUUUCCGCAAUGGGCGAAAGCCUGACGGAGCAAUACCGCGUGAGGGACGAAGGUUUUUGGAUUGUAAACCUCUUUUCUCUGGGAAGAACACAAUGACGGUACCAGAGGAAUCAGCAUCGGCUAACUCCGUGCCAGCAGCCGCGGUAAUACGGAGGAUGCAAGCGUUAUCCGGAAUUAUUGGGCGUAAAGCGUCCGCAGGUGGUUUUAUAAGUCAGUUGUCAAAGCGCAAGGCUCAACUUUGUAAAGGCAAUUGAAACUGUGAGACUAGAGUGUGGUAGGGGUAGCGGGAAUUCCCAGUGUAGCGGUGAAAUGCGUAGAUAUUGGGAAGAACACCAGCGGCGAAAGCGCGCUACUGGGCCAUAACUGACACUGAGGGACGAAAGCUAGGGGAGC
RNAcentral lists this ribosomal RNA (400 nucleotides) under uncultured bacterium. RNAcentral describes it as "bacterial SSU rRNA". It matches the Rfam family "Bacterial small subunit ribosomal RNA", at positions 355 to 769 of the family's 1533-position model. The record is from RNAcentral.